AACCAUUCUCACCUGCGGCUAGACCUGCGGAAGGAUCAUUAUUGAAUAAACUUGGUGGGCUGUAGCUGGCUCUUUGGAGCAUGUGCACGCCUGUCAUAUUUAUCCAUCCACCUGUGCACCUUUUGUAGUCUUGGGGUAGAUAGUGGCUGACUCUCGACCUUGUCGGAUGUGAGAAUUGCUGGUUAGCUUUUCUUAAGAAGCCCUAACUUCUCUCAGGUCUAUGUCUUUUCAUAAACCACA
RNAcentral lists this unclassified non-coding RNA (240 nucleotides) under soil metagenome. RNAcentral describes it as "partial contains 5.8S ribosomal RNA, internal transcribed spacer 2, and large subunit ribosomal RNA". The record is from RNAcentral.